This 69-nucleotide transfer RNA is filed under the name Hapsodrilus ignifer. RNAcentral's name for it is "tRNA-Gln". It matches the Rfam family "tRNA". From Rfam's summary of the family: Transfer RNA (tRNA) molecules are approximately 80 nucleotides in length. Their secondary structure includes four short double-helical elements and three loops (D, anti-codon, and T loops). The record is from RNAcentral. Lineage: Eukaryota; Metazoa; Arthropoda; Insecta; Coleoptera; Elateridae.
UACGUUUUAGUAUAGGAUGUACGUAAGAUUUUGAUUCUUAAAGUGUCGGUUUAACCCCCUCAGAUGUAA